GACGAACGCUGGCGGCAUGCUUAACACAUGCAAGUCGAACGGGACGCCUAUGAAGGAGUUUUCGGACAACGGAGUAGGUUGUUUAGUGGCGGACGGGUGAGUAACGCGUGAGGAACCUGCCUUUCAGAGGGGGACAACAGCUGGAAACGGCUGCUAAUACCGCAUAAAGUAUCUGUAUCGCAUGGUAUGGAUACCAAAGAUUUAUCGCUGAGAGAUGGCCUCGCGUCUGAUUAGCUAGUUGGUGAGGUAACGGCCCACCAAGGCGACGAUCAGUAGCCGGACUGAGAGGUUGGCCGGCCACAUUGGGACUGAGAUACGGCCCAG
Molecule: ribosomal RNA, 324 nt
Filed under: uncultured bacterium
Lineage: Bacteria
Description: bacterial SSU rRNA
Rfam family: Bacterial small subunit ribosomal RNA
Source: RNAcentral